RNAcentral lists this long non-coding RNA (398 nucleotides) under Monodelphis domestica (gray short-tailed opossum). Its description in RNAcentral is "lncRNA (ENSMODG00000048316.1)". The record is from RNAcentral. Lineage: Eukaryota; Metazoa; Chordata; Mammalia; Didelphimorphia; Didelphidae.
CUGCGAAGACAAUGACCAAAAACUUUAGGAGAAACUGGUCUCUUCUUGGAAGACUGUAUGAUAUAGUAAUGAAUUUUCAUCAUUUUUCCUGAGUAACCGAUUCUUUUCUGUCAAUGAAAAUCAGAUCCAGAAGAGAAUUUUUUCUUGUUGUGUCCUCUACCUUUUGAAGGAUGAAAUUAUCAUUAAGGGGUCCAAAAACAGAGUCAGGAUCUGUUGUUGUUAGAUGUCCAAGCAAGUCCUGAUAUCCAACUGAGACAGAAUGCUGCCAGCAGCCAGAUACAGGAACUCUUCAACACUGGGAAAUCCUCUUCAGACCUUCCUCUAGACUUCCUCAAGAGACCAGAAGAAAAAGUCUGGUGGGGCAAGAUGGAGUUUUCCCAGUUCCUCCAGCUCAGGCU